Molecule: non-coding RNA, 795 nt
Organism: Oryctolagus cuniculus (rabbit)
Lineage: Eukaryota; Metazoa; Chordata; Mammalia; Lagomorpha; Leporidae
Source: RefSeq, a predicted model, not a curated record
CUCGGAUCACGCCGGAAUGGAAGAAGCCCCAGUGCCCAGGAGCGACGACGGGCUGGGACGCCCGCGCGCUUCUCCCGCAGCCGAGCACCGAGAGCCAGAGUCGGGGGACCACCGAGACCCCAGUCCGCCCGCGGCGGCCCGCCCGGAUUCCCGCUGAGCACCGUGCGCCCCCGGGGAGCGGAGAGGAGGCGGCCCACUCCUCAGCUGCUGAGAGAAAUGGAGCCGUCCUCUGGGAAUCGUCUUCUGGAGAGUCUGGGUGUUGCUGAGAACCGUAAACCACAUCUCUGCAAGGACAACGUGGGAAGUUGGUUCUUAGUGCAACAAACGUUUACUACUUUACCGGACACAGUUGAGAUGCUGGUGAUACAAUUGCCCAAAGUACAGCAGCAUCCUUCAGGACCUUUGUAUCAUGCUUUUAGCUUUUAUUAUAAUUUGCCUUUGGCUUUCAUUGAACAUUCUUGAGAAUUUGGAAGAUGAAUGCAAUGGAGUAUUACUCAGCCAAAAAUCAAGGCAGAAAUCUUGACAUUUGCAGCAAAAUGGAUGGAACUGAAGAUCAUAUGCUCCCUGCUAAUGUGCCUGAGAAAGCAGUGGAAGAUGGCCCAAGUCCUCAGGCCCCUGCCACCCAUGUAGAAGACCUGAAAGAAACUCCUGAUUAUUGGCUUCAGACCAGCCCAGCUGUAACCAGUGUGGCCAUCUAGAGAACAAACCAGCAAAUGGAAAACUUGUCUCUCUGUCUUUCCCUUUCCCUCUGUAACUGUGUCUUUCAAAUAAACAAAUAUUUCUUUAAAAAUAUAC